CCUACGGGAGGCAGCAGUGGGGAAUAUUGCACAAUGGGGGAAACCCUGAUGCAGCGACGCCGCGUGAGUGAAGAAGUAUUUCGGUACGUAAAGCUCUAUCAGCAGGGAAGAAAAUGACGGUACCUGACUAAGAAGCCCCGGCUAACUACGUGCCAGCAGCCGCGGUAAUACGUAGGGGGCAGGCGUUAUCCGGAUUUACUGGGUGUAAAGGGAGCGUAGACGGCAGCGCAAGUCUGGAGUGAAAUCCCAUGGCUUAACCAUGGAACUGCUUUGGAAACUGUGCAGCUAGAGUGCAGGAGAGGUAAGCGGAAUUCCUAGUGUAGCGGUGAAAUGCGUAGAUAUUAGGAGGAACACCAGUGGCGAAGGCGGCUUACUGGACUGUAACUGACGUUGAGGCUCGAAAGCGUGGGGAGCAAACAGGAUUAGAUACCCUAGUAGUC
RNAcentral lists this ribosomal RNA (440 nucleotides) under uncultured bacterium. RNAcentral's name for it is "partial 16S ribosomal RNA". It matches the Rfam family "Bacterial small subunit ribosomal RNA", at positions 338 to 795 of the family's 1533-position model. The record is from RNAcentral.